Molecule: transfer RNA, 73 nt
Filed under: Propionibacteriaceae bacterium
Lineage: Bacteria; Bacillati; Actinomycetota; Actinomycetes; Propionibacteriales; Propionibacteriaceae
Description: tRNA-Ala
Source: RNAcentral
GGGGCCGUGGCACAGCGGGUGGCGCGUCUGCUUCGCCAGCAGAGGGUCGCCGGGCCGAAUCCGGUCGGACCCG